GAAGCCUCCAAUUCUAAUGAGAAGAAACAUUAGAAGGGAAAGGAGAAGUUUAACAAGAAUAAGGUUCAAUGUUACUAUUGUAAGAAGUUUGGCUACUUUGCUGCUGACUUUUGGUCAAACAAGGAAAGGAAAUCAAAAGAAGAAGAUAUAACUAGAGGAGAUUUUGAUGAUGAACAUGUGCUAUUGAUGACUUCUGAAUCUGAUGGUGCGUAUUUGGUAGACUGGUGGUAUAUGGACAUUG
This 241-nucleotide long non-coding RNA is filed under the name Lathyrus oleraceus (garden pea). RNAcentral describes it as "Pisum sativum (pea) long non-coding RNA (PSAT_LNC001825)". The record is from RNAcentral. Lineage: Eukaryota; Viridiplantae; Streptophyta; Magnoliopsida; Fabales; Fabaceae.